AAUCGUGCGGAGGCCUAACACAUGCAAGUCGAGCGCGCCUUUCGGGGUGAGCGGCGGACGGGUUAGUAACGCGUGGGAAUAUACCCUUUGGUACGGAAUAGCCUCUGGAAACGGAGAGUAAUACCGUAUGAGCCCUUCGGGGGAAAGAUUUAUCGCCAAAGGAUUAGCCCGCGUUAGAUUAGGUAGUUGGUGGGGUAAUGGCCUACCAAGCCUACGAUCUAUAGCUGGUUUUAGAGGAUGAUCAGCAACACUGGGACUGAGACACGGCCCAGACUCCUACGGGAGGCAGCAGUGGGGAAUCUUGGACAAUGGGGGCAACCCUGAUCCAGCCAUGCCGCGUGAGUGAUGAAGGCCUUAGGGUCGUAAAGCUCUUUCGCCUGUGAAGAUAAUGACGGUAGCAGGUAAAGAAACCCCGGCUAACUCCGUGCCAGCAGCCGCGGUAAUACGGAGGGGGUUAGCGUUGUUCGGAAUUACUGGGCGUAAAGCGCACGUAGGCGGAUCGGAAAGUUGGGGGUGAAAUCCCGGGGCUCAACCCCGGAACUGCCUCCAAAACUAUCGGUCUAGAGUUCGAGAGAGGUGAGUGGAAUUCCGAGUGUAGAGGUGAAAUUCGUAGAUAUUCGGAGGAACACCAGUGGCGAAGGCGGCUCACUGGCUCGAUACUGACGCUGAGGUGCGAAAGUGUGGGGGAGCAAACAGGAUUAGAUACCCUGGUAGUCCACACCGUAACGAUGAAUGCCAGUCGUCGGGUAGCAUGCUAUUCGGUGACACACCUAACGGAUUAAGCAUUCCGCCUGGGGAGUACGGUCGCAAGAUUAAAACUCAAUGAAUUGACGG
This 834-nucleotide ribosomal RNA is filed under the name uncultured bacterium. RNAcentral describes it as "bacterial SSU rRNA". It matches the Rfam family "Bacterial small subunit ribosomal RNA", at positions 31 to 916 of the family's 1533-position model. The record is from RNAcentral.